AGCGAACGCUGGCGGCAGGCUUAACACAUGCAAGUCGAGCGCCCCGCAAGGGGAGCGGCAGACGGGAGAGUAACACGUGGGAACAUACCUUUUGGUUCGGAACAACUGAGGGAAACUUCAGCUAAUACCGGAUAAGCCCUUACGGGGAAAGAUUUAUCGCCGAAAGAUUGGCCCGCGUCUGAUUAGCUCGUUGGUGAGGUAACGGCUCACCAAGGCGACGAUCAGUAGCUGGUCUGAGAGGAUGAUCAGCCUCACUGGGACUGGGACACAGCCCAGACUCCUACGGGAGGCAGGAGUGGGGAAUAUUGGACAAUGGGGGCAACCCUGAUCCAGCCAUGCCGCGUGAGUGAUGAAGGCCUUAGGGUUGUAAAGCUCUUUUGCCCGGGAAGACAAUGACGGUACCGGGAGAAUAAGCCCCGGCUAACUUCGUG
Molecule: ribosomal RNA, 431 nt
Filed under: uncultured bacterium
Lineage: Bacteria
Description: partial 16S ribosomal RNA
Rfam family: Bacterial small subunit ribosomal RNA
Source: RNAcentral